CAUAAUAUUAACCCAUUCAUGGCCACGAACCGCCGAGCGUACACAAUACGCCAGGCCACCAUACAAAUCGUUUUUAGCUAAAACGCAUGACUCAGCUUAUGGGUCUCGAGCCUGGCGCGAACGGUAAAUAAAUCGCCGCUUAUGAAGCCGGCCAGUUGGACAGCAUUAUGCAACAUUUUUACUAACCACCGAUUUUCUGUGCCUAUCAAAAAAGAAACUAAUUAUUGCAUCGGUCAGGUUAGGCGGGUUCAAAUUCCGGUAAUCCAUAGCCAUGGUCACAAAAUACGAAAUCACUAAACAGCACAGGAGGAGUAUAAAGUCGCCAACGAAUAAAUCGUGACUAAAUAAUAUUUUCCAUGUUACUCCAAAAUACAUCUCUAAUAGGGGGGAUGGGAUGAAUCACAUCUUGAACUCUUGUGACAAAUACCACAUGAAAGAUAAUACCGCCGCCGCCGUUCGGAUGCAUUCCUUGUUUAUUGUCCAAGUGUGUCCGAUAAGCUUACACCUGGUCGGUCAUUAUCUUUGUUUUGGUAAACGCCAUUAUAUUAGUAACAAUAGAGAACUUAAAAUGUAUUAUAGUACUUACUUUCUAAUCUGCCGUAGAAACCAC
Molecule: long non-coding RNA, 610 nt
Organism: Cydia amplana
Lineage: Eukaryota; Metazoa; Arthropoda; Insecta; Lepidoptera; Tortricidae
Exons: 2
Source: RefSeq, a predicted model, not a curated record